AUGCCCAAGCGGACCAUGGGAGGGAGGGCUGACGCCAGGGCCGAUGCCAUGGCGCACGAAGCUUCGGUGCAGGUGUCACCUACGCCGGAGCAGGUGGCUCCUUCGCUGGAGCAGGUGACUCCUCUGCCAUGCCAUCUGCCUCCUCUGCCGCAGCCCGUGGUCAACGUCGACGGCGACGACGACGAAGAAAAGGUAGCUGCUCUGGCUCCUCAGACGGAGCAGGUGUCUCCUCUGCCGCGGGUGACGCCUCCUGUGCCCGAACCUGUGGUCGUCGGCGAUGUCAACAAAGAAGACCCUCAGCCGGGUGUUCGUCUACCGCGGUUGUUGCCUCCCCUGCCGCCACCUGUGGUCGUCGCCGACGAGAACGAAGAAGAGGUUUUCCCUGGUCAGUACAAGGCGAAUAAGGUCCUAAGUGACGAUGUUGACAGCGACCCAGAAACCCAGAGGAUCUUUAGGAGACAGAAGGUGAGGCAGCUGGAGAGUGGUGAGCUCGAGAAAGCUGUGAGGCAUAGAUUCGGAAAUGGCUACGGAUGCCCUUUCUGCAACAAGGUGAUGAAGGGCGACCUGUCGAGUACCAUCAACCAUGCAGUCGGAACAUCCCAUGGCAAAAUCAAGAAUGUCUACGCUUUCAGGGUGAAGCAUGCCGCGUAUGCCGACUACUUGAUCAGGCUUCUUUGA
RNAcentral lists this ribosomal RNA (678 nucleotides) under Triticum aestivum (bread wheat). RNAcentral's name for it is "partial small subunit ribosomal RNA". Lineage: Eukaryota; Viridiplantae; Streptophyta; Magnoliopsida; Poales; Poaceae. The record is from RNAcentral.